Molecule: ribosomal RNA, 419 nt
Filed under: uncultured bacterium
Lineage: Bacteria
Description: bacterial SSU rRNA
Rfam family: Bacterial small subunit ribosomal RNA
Source: RNAcentral
GGAAUUUUGGACAAUGGGCGCAAGCCUGAUCCAGCAAUGCCGCGUGCAGGAUGAAGGCCUUCGGGUUGUAAACUGCUUUUGUACGGAACGAAAAGUACUUCUCUAAUACAGAGGUGCGAUGACGGUACCGUAAGAAUAAGCACCGGCUAACUACGUGCCAGCAGCCGCGGUAAUACGUAGGGUGCAAGCGUUAAUCGGAAUUACUGGGCGUAAAGCGUGCGCAGGCGGUUUUGUAAGACAGAGGUGAAAUCCCCGGGCUCAACCUGGGAACUGCCUUUGUGGCUGCAAGGCUAGAGUACGGCAGAGGGGGGUGGAAUUCCGCGUGUAGCAGUGAAAUGCGUAGAUAUGCGGGGGAACACCGAUGGCGAAGGCAACCCCCUGGGCCUGUACUGACGCUCAUGCACGAAAGCGUGGGGAGC